GCCUCCAAGGAUGAAUAAAAAUAACUUUCGUUCUUCUGAGUUGCUCCUUGCGGAAAAUUAUUGGAGACCUGAACUGAGGAGGC
Neltuma alba is the source of this 83-nucleotide small nucleolar RNA. RefSeq annotates it as small nucleolar RNA Z159/U59. The transcript has a single exon. The record is from RefSeq and is a predicted model, not a curated record. Lineage: Eukaryota; Viridiplantae; Streptophyta; Magnoliopsida; Fabales; Fabaceae.